GGUUGUGCUUCCUAUUGAACUCCAUGCAGUGAUAUUCCUCGCUUCUUAUCGUGGUUUGCCGCCGUUGCUACUACUGCUGUGCAGCAUGUGCCCUGGCUGCGAUGAAUCCGUUAUGCCACUGCACAUAUUUUCCCGUCGCUGGAAUCCAGGAAUCGUUUGCAUUGUGCUGCGGUAAGGGUCAUGGUUUUCUCUGUUUUUGCUGAGAAACUCAUGUUCAUCAUGUCCCCUCCUUGUUGUGACCUUUCAAGGAAAUACCAUGCUGCUGCAGUGCUUCAUGGAGGCCA
This is a long non-coding RNA of Sorghum bicolor (sorghum), 284 nucleotides long. RefSeq lists it as uncharacterized. The record is from RefSeq and is a predicted model, not a curated record. Lineage: Eukaryota; Viridiplantae; Streptophyta; Magnoliopsida; Poales; Poaceae. The transcript has 2 exons.